GGCCAGACUCCUACGGGAGGCAGCAGUGGGGAAUAUUGCGCAAUGGGCGAAAGCCUGACGCAGCGACGCCGCGUGAGGGAUGAAGGUCUUCGGAUCGUAAACCUCUGUCAGCAGGGAAGAACGGUCACUGUGCUAAUCAGCAGUGAAUUGACGGUACCUGCAAAGGAAGCACCGGCUAACUCCGUGCCAGCAGCCGCGGUAAUACGGGGGGUGCAAGCGUUGUCCGGAAUCAUUGGGCGUAAAGCGUUCGUAGGCGGUAUGUCAAGUCUGAUGUUAAAGCCCGGGGCUCAACUCCGGUUCGGCAUUGGAUACUGGCAAACUAGAAUGUGGUAGAGGUAAAGGGAAUUCCUGGUGUAGCGGUGAAAUGCGUAGAUAUCAGGAGGAACAUCGGUGGCGAAAGCGCUUUACUGGACCAUUAUUGACGCUGAGGAACGAAAGCCAGGGGAGCAAAUGGGAUUAGAUACCCUCGUAAU
This 473-nucleotide ribosomal RNA is filed under the name uncultured bacterium. RNAcentral describes it as "partial 16S ribosomal RNA". It matches the Rfam family "Bacterial small subunit ribosomal RNA", at positions 329 to 794 of the family's 1533-position model. The record is from RNAcentral.